GAUGAACGCUAGCUACAGGCUUAACACAUGCAAGUCGAGGGGCAGCAUGUUGGUUGCUUGCAACCAACGAUGGCGACCGGCGCACGGGUGAGUAACGCGUAUCCAACCUUCCGCAUACUCGGGAAUAGCCUUUCGAAAGAAAGAUUAAUGCCCGAUGGUUUCCCGAAUCCGCAUGAGCGCGGGAAUAAAGAUUCAUCGGUAUGCGAUGGGGAUGCGUCCCAUUAGCUUGUUGGCGGGGUAACGGCCCACCAAGGCUACGAUGGGUAGGGGUUCUGAGAGGAAGGUCCCCCACAUUGGAACUGAGACACGGUCCAAACUCCUACGGGAGGCAGCAGUGAGGAAUAUUGGUCAAUGGGCGAGAGCCUGAACCAGCCAAGUAGCGUGAGGGAUGACCGCCCUACGGGUCGUAAACCUCUUUUAUAAGGGAAUAAAGAUAAGUACGCGUACUUAGUUGCAUGUACCUUAUGAAUAAGCAUCGGCUAACUCCGUGCCAGCCGCCGCGGUAA
Molecule: ribosomal RNA, 506 nt
Filed under: uncultured bacterium
Lineage: Bacteria
Description: partial 16S ribosomal RNA
Rfam family: Bacterial small subunit ribosomal RNA
Source: RNAcentral